CCUCACAAUCUCCACCUUGGGCUUUGGUCAGAUAAGGCCCAUCACCACCUCACGUCUUCUUCUUUCCCUGAUGGCAAUCGAAGCUUUUCAUUCUGAUUACGUCUCAGAUACAAACCGUGACAUGCAAUUGGAACUCCCUGCGAUUCUUGCAAUUCACGACUGUGCCCUUUGGAGAUCACUCCACCUCUUCGUCUAUCUCCGGUGUGAUUCCGAUCACAAACUCUCAACCAGUGGUGGGUUUCGUCGCCGUUAGAAACUGCCUCCACCACCAAAGCUCAUGGAUCUCUUCUCCGUGAAUGUCGUUUCCUUGUUUGCUUUGAGAAUGAACCACUUCAAGUUUCUGGCCAGAAUCCAUUGUUCUUAUUGUGAAUCAUCUAUCACCAUUAGAAUAUGAAACAACUCCUAAGAACUUUCAGCUACAGACAGGACGAAUGACCGUUUGCGCCUCCGGUGAAGCUUUUACUCAACGGUGAAGACGAUGCAAUUUCUCUGCAUCUGUGAUGAAGCUUACAAACUCCACCCCUGUCUUUGGUAAUCCUGAGUUUGCUUUCCUGUCAAAUAAACACGGCUGUGUCCUUACCCCUUUGAUUUUUCCUCCUUUUUCAGAUAGUGAAACCUUCCAGCAGUACUUUGUCGACCCUUUUCUCAGCUCCUCCAGCAACCCUUUUUGCCGCAUUGUACUGCAUCUCCAACGACCCUGUUUCCGCAUUCUCCAGCUUCUCCAGCGAAUUGUUCCCCUCCUCCGCUGAAUAUAAGUCACACGUCUCCCUCAGCUUGUCCGGAGAUUUCCAUCGAUGAGCCUGCUUUUCCAGCGGUUCAUCACCAUCGCAACUCAACUCCGACAAUUACUUUGCCAUUGAACUCAGAUCAAGUUACUCCACCUUGAACUCUGAUUCUUCCUUUGAUUACACCACCAUUAACCGCACUUCUGUUUUCUUCUUGAGCUCAAAACUCAGAGAGAUUCAUGACUCUCUCUCAAGUUUCCAUCUUCUCUCGAGCUACACCGAUGAUCCUGUGAUAUCAAUGCUCAAGAUCCUCCAGCUUCCGACUCAUCUCCCUUGAUAAGUUGCAACAGAGCUAGCUUGUCUUUCUCUCUACAGCUUGUCUGGCGAAAGCCUUCGCCACCUCCACUGUCCAAAACGUUUCUUUGUGCAAUCUCCUCCAGUGACCAUCUUGGUCGUACCAUCACCACAUACCUCCGUCGCUUUGUACGCGACGAACAAUAGACCCGUGCCCAUUCUCAGCCUCAAUGAUCACAUGUAGCCUCUGAACUAUGUAUCAUCUUCUGCCUCUGUUCCAAUAACUCCAGCUCCACCUUGAACCAGAAACAACAGUGCACGACUUCUGAUGCUUCACGGAUACCUUACACCUUGACUGCGAGAGCUCAGCCUCGCCCUUCAUCUCUAGGUAAUUCCCUUUACCUCUAUAUGUUUUUGCACUUCUCAUCAUUAAACUUUACCCAGUAAUGAAAUCUUGUAGUGCUUCCAGAAAACCUAAGCCCCUUUCCUUUAACUAGAAUCAUCUUUGCCUCAUGCCUGAAGCUAAACUACUGUAACCCAAUCAAUCACACAGCCUCCUCCAUGACCUUCAUGAAUCUGUUAUGUUGAUUUAAUUCAUUUUCCCUCUGCAUCUUGAUAUUUUUUU
Molecule: long non-coding RNA, 1644 nt
Organism: Raphanus sativus (radish)
Lineage: Eukaryota; Viridiplantae; Streptophyta; Magnoliopsida; Brassicales; Brassicaceae
Exons: 3
Source: RefSeq, a predicted model, not a curated record